RNAcentral lists this ribosomal RNA (499 nucleotides) under uncultured Glomeromycotina. RNAcentral's name for it is "partial small subunit ribosomal RNA". It matches the Rfam family "Eukaryotic small subunit ribosomal RNA", at positions 591 to 1092 of the family's 1831-position model. Lineage: Eukaryota; Fungi; Glomeromycota. The record is from RNAcentral.
CCAAUAGCGUAUAUUAAAGUUGUUGCAGUUAAAAAGCUCGUAGUUGGAUUUCGAGAUCAAUUUGUCGGUCGUGCCUCGGUACGUACUGGCAUUAUUGAUUUCUCCCUUCUGAAGAACCGCGAUGUCAUUAAUUUGGUGUCGUGGGGAAUCAGGACUGUUACUUUGAAAAAAUUAGAGUGUUUAAAGCAGGCGCACGCUUGAAUACAUUAGCAUGGAAUAAUGAAAUAGGACGAUUGCUUCUAUUUUGUUGGUUUCUAGGAUCGACGUAAUGAUUAAUAGGGAUAGUUGGGGGCAUUAGUAUUCAAUUGUCAGAGGUGAAAUUCUUGGAUUUAUUGAAGACUAACUACUGCGAAAGCAUUUGCCAAGGAUGUUUUCAUUAAUCAAGAACGAAAGUUAGGGGAUCGAAGACGAUCAGAUACCGUCGUAGUCUUAACCAUAAACUAUGCCGACUAGGGAUCGGAUGAUGUUAAUUUUUUAAUGACUCAUUCGGCGCCUUACG